AUGUCUAUGCCACGCGCCGGCCGGUUCCUGUUCUGCAUUGCCGCCGUGGUGCUCGUCGUGGUGCCGCCGGCGGGCGUGGCCGGGCACACGCGGGGCGUGCGGCCGGGGCGGGCGGCGGGGCGGCCGUUCCCGGAGAACGCGACGCGGGCGGAGGAGCUGGAGCGGCUGUUCAUGCGGUGGGUGCGCUACGUGGGCGGCCUCAAGCACAGCACCUUCCACCACGCGCCGCUCGCCCGCGCCUUCCCGUCCUACUCGCUCGUCGUCGACAAGGACCCCGCGGCCGGCGACUUCACGUCCGUCCAGGCCGCCGUCGACUCGCUCCCGACCAUCAACCUCGUCCGCGUCGUCAUCAAGGUCAACGCCGGAACCUACACAGAGAAGGUGACGAUAUCGUCGAUGCGCGCGUUCAUCACCCUGGAGGGCGCCGGCGCGGACAAGACGAUCGUGCAGUGGGGGGACACGGCGGACACGCCCGCCGGACCGAGGGGGCGCCCGCUCGGCACGUACGGGUCCGCGUCGUUCGCCGUGAACGCGCAGUACUUCAUCGCCAGGAACAUCACCUUCAAGAACACGGCGCCGGUGCCGAACGCGGGGGCGACGGGGAAGCAGGCGGUGGCGCUGCGGGUGUCGGCGGACAACGCGGCGUUCGUGGGGUGCCGGUUCCUGGGCGCGCAGGACACGCUCUACGACCAGUCGGGGCGCCACUACUACAAGGACUGCUACAUCGAGGGGUCCAUCGACUUCAUCUUCGGCAACGCGCUCUCCCUCUACGAGGGCUGCCACGUGCACGCGAUCGCGCGGGACUACGGGGCGCUGACGGCGCAGAACCGGCAGAGCAUGCUGGAGGACACGGGGUUCUCGUUCGUCGGCUGCAGGGUGACGGGGUCGGGGGCGCUCUACCUGGGCCGGGCCUGGGGCACCUUCUCCCGCGUCGUCUUCGCCUACACCUACAUGGACGACAUCAUCGUCCCGCGCGGCUGGUCCAACUGGGGCGACCCCAGCCGCGAGCUGACGGUGUUCUACGGGCAGUACAAGUGCACGGGCCCCGGCGCCAGCUACUCCGGCAGGGUGUCCUGGUCGCGCGAGCUCACCGACGAGGAGGCCAAGCCCUUCAUCUCGCUCAGCUUCAUCGACGGCACCGAGUGGAUCAGGAUCUGA
Molecule: ribosomal RNA, 1158 nt
Filed under: Triticum aestivum (bread wheat)
Lineage: Eukaryota; Viridiplantae; Streptophyta; Magnoliopsida; Poales; Poaceae
Description: partial small subunit ribosomal RNA
Source: RNAcentral